RNAcentral lists this ribosomal RNA (214 nucleotides) under uncultured bacterium. RNAcentral's name for it is "partial 16S ribosomal RNA". It matches the Rfam family "Bacterial small subunit ribosomal RNA", at positions 122 to 334 of the family's 1533-position model. The record is from RNAcentral.
UAACCUGCCUUGGAGUGGGGGAUAACAAGGUGGAAACAUCUGCUAAUACCGCAUGAUGCAGUUGGGUCGCAUGGCUCUGACUGCCAAAGAUUUAUCGCUCUGAGAUGGACUCGCGUCUGAUUAGCUGGUUGGCGGGGUAACGGCCCACCAAGGCGACGAUCAGUAGCCGGACUGAGAGGUUGGCCGGCCACAUUGGGACUGAGACACGGCCCAG